CCUACGGGAGGCAGCAGUGAGGAAUAUUGGUCAAUGGGCGCGAGCCUGAACCAGCCAAGUCGCGUGAGGGAAGACGGUCCUAUGGAUUGUAAACCUCUUUUGUCGGGGAGCAAAAGACGCCACGCGUGGCGUUCCGAGAGUACACGAAGAAAAAGCAUCGGCCAACUCCGUGCCAGCCGCCGCGGUAAUAAGGAGGCUGCGAGAGUUAUCCGGAUUUAUUGGGUUUUAAGGGUGCGCAGGCGGCAGAUCAAGACAGCGGUAAAAUUUAGAGGCUCAAACUCGUCGAGCCGUUGAAACGGGUGUUCUUGAGGGAGUGAGAAGUAUGCGGAAGGCG
RNAcentral lists this ribosomal RNA (334 nucleotides) under uncultured bacterium. RNAcentral's name for it is "partial 16S ribosomal RNA". It matches the Rfam family "Bacterial small subunit ribosomal RNA", at positions 338 to 670 of the family's 1533-position model. The record is from RNAcentral.